RNAcentral lists this ribosomal RNA (260 nucleotides) under Sclerotinia sclerotiorum. RNAcentral's name for it is "partial 18S ribosomal RNA". The record is from RNAcentral. Lineage: Eukaryota; Fungi; Ascomycota; Leotiomycetes; Helotiales; Sclerotiniaceae.
UUCUUGUUUUUUUUUCUGUUCUGUCUCUUUUUUGGUUUCUUGUUUCUCUAUUUUUUUUUUUUCUUUCGUUUCGUUUUUCUUCUUCUUUUCUUUUUUUUUUGUUUUUUUUUUUGUUUUUUUCUUAGUUUCUUUUUUCUUUUGUUUUGUUGUUGGUAUUUUGUGUCGUUUGUGUUCUGUAUGGUUUGAUAUUUGGUAGCUAACGGUUGGAAGUAAAAGUCGUAACAAGGUUUCCGUAGGUGAACCUGCGGAAGGAUCAUUAC